Molecule: transfer RNA, 78 nt
Filed under: Oreichthys cosuatis
Lineage: Eukaryota; Metazoa; Chordata; Actinopteri; Cypriniformes; Cyprinidae
Description: tRNA-Lys
Source: RNAcentral
CAUUAGGAAGCUAACUUACUGGACAUAAGCGCUGGCCUUUUAAGCCAGAAUUGGGUGCCUCCCGACCACCCCUAAUGA